AACGAACGCUGGCGGCAUGCCUAACACAUGCAAGUCGAACGAGACCUCCGUGUCUAGUGGCGCUCGGGGGCGGAACGUGGGGGAAGCUGCACUUAGGUUCCGUAUCCUUCACUUUAGGGGGUGCUAAUACAGGAUAAUGUAUUCGGACCAAGGAUUUAUCGCCUUGGGGUGGGCGCGGGUUGGUUUCGCCUGUUGGUAGGGUAAAAGCCUAUCAAGGCGUCGAUCCAUAGCUGGUCUGAGAGCAUGAUCCGCUACACUGGGGCUGCGACACGGGCGAGACUCCUACGCGAGGGAGCAGAGGGUAAUAUUGGACAAUGGGGUAAAGCCUGAUCCAGCAAUGCCGCGUAAGACAUGAUGCCCUUAGGGUAGUGAAGCUGUUUUACCCGGGGUGAUAAUGACGGUACCGGGAGAAUAAGCACCGGCUAACUCCGUG
RNAcentral lists this ribosomal RNA (433 nucleotides) under uncultured bacterium. RNAcentral describes it as "partial 16S ribosomal RNA". It matches the Rfam family "Bacterial small subunit ribosomal RNA", at positions 29 to 507 of the family's 1533-position model. The record is from RNAcentral.